UAGUUCAACAAAUCACUCAUGUUUAUGUGGCCUCAAGGAAUGUGGCCUUGAUCU
Bison bison bison is the source of this 54-nucleotide unclassified non-coding RNA. Lineage: Eukaryota; Metazoa; Chordata; Mammalia; Artiodactyla; Bovidae. The record is from Ensembl.